GUGUGUGCGCAGCCCUGGUUGUCUCUGGGAGCCCCAGGGCCCGGGAGGGAGGGUGAUCCUGCCAGCAAGCACUUAACAAAUUGGCCUGAAAUGCCCCAUCCCUGGCUCCCAGACCUCCCGGCGCCCGGAGGGAGCAGGGAGGGGAAAGCCCAGAACCCAGGCAAAAGAAUUAAUUGAAGGUUGAACUCUGUGCUCAGAGGAAGAGGCACAUCCUCUCGGGUCGCUGCCCCUCCCUCGGCUGACAUCCCUAUGUACCAUCCUGACACCCUCGUGGAACCACCCAUCAUAUGGCUCAAUUGAUGGACAAGUCAGGAACCUCACAACUCAAGGUACAGGUGGUACAGGAGGAGGACGUGCUCCAGACCGCACGAGAAGGGUGGACAGUGAAGUGACGGCGUCAGGUCAAGGGCAAUUUGAAGCGUGCUGGCUUGGUGAGAGGCUGAGAGGGGGGACACCAGGACAGAAGGGUCGCCAGGGCCCUCAGGGGAGGGGGCGCUCCCUCUGCAGAAGCGGGGGUGGGAGGAGGCUUCAACACAGAAGGACAGGGGCCCCAGGCAGGGGGGCAGUGACAACGGUGUUAUAGUCCAGGGACAUUUCUUGAGGGAGCUCGUGGUACCUUCCUCCUAGGGACCCAGACCUUGGGAUGUGAGGAGUGCAUCCUCAUCGAGACACAAUUUCUCUUUAAAACUAUGCCGUCAAUGUGCGGGUGAGGGGUCUGUGCUUCCAGAGGCAGGAAGGGGGCCCGGUAAUGCCCUGGGGAGGUCAGGAGUCCUGCCUGCACUGAAGGCACAUCUCCGUGGGCAAACCCAGAGGUAAAGUGGCCCUCACUCUGCCCUCUUCCAGGCCGUGACACCCCUGCCCCUGCGAGCAGCCCCCUACCCGGCUGCAGAGGGGUGUGCUGCGGGCCCCGACCCGUCUAAAGCAUCCAUUGUCCACUUCCUCUGUGAUGAGGGUGACACUCUCAGUGAUAGAAAGUUUUGUGCUCACAGAAGAGCAUGAAGAAGAAGACUGAGACCCCCCUCCUAGCUCUCCCUUUA
Molecule: long non-coding RNA, 1037 nt
Filed under: Canis lupus familiaris (dog)
Lineage: Eukaryota; Metazoa; Chordata; Mammalia; Carnivora; Canidae
Description: lncRNA (ENSCAFG00030002316.1)
Source: RNAcentral